CAGUUAAUACCUGGUAGCAUUUAAAAAAUGAGUAUUUUCAGUUUAUUAAGGGAGCUUGAGUUUUCCUAAGCUGUCACAAGAGGCUUGGUUCUUACACCAGUGCAGAUACUGUGAUGAUGGCAUAGUUCAGCAAAGCAUACUGUGAUGAAAAAAAAGUUGUCUUUCGCCUCCUAUCUGAUGUAUCUUUCCCUUGUGAUAGCUCUUGCUUAGGAGGUGUAGGCUUGGCCAUGAAGGCUGAGGGAAUAACUUAUUUUUUUCUCCUGUUGCAGGCACUUGAAUUUGAAGCUAUGAGCUGUGCAAGGUAAAUAACUAUUUUGUUUGCAUCUGAAUUAAUGUCCCUGAUGUGAAUAGGCUGCGUGUGAUGACUGCAUAGUUCAGCAGAUGACCCAUGGUGAACAUGCGGUGACUGUCUUUCGCUCCUAUCUGAUGCAGCCCCCUGUACCUUAGACUGUUAAUUCAUGUGGAAAGCUGAAAGGCUGCCUCCUACAUGAAGGUGUUCUAGAAGUGUUCUCUUGAUUUACAGGCUGCCCUGCACAGAUGGUGUCUGCCUUCACAUGUUCCUAAUCUUGGAAGACACAAGGCCUUCCUAAAUUGAAGGCUUCCAGAGUGUUUCUUCUUGUGAUGGUUGCUGCAGUGAAGCUGUGAAGUGGUGCUUAGUUCUGCCAGCAAAAAGUGAAGCUUGUGGGGAGUGUGUGAGAAGACCCACAUCUGAGGGAAGGAUCAUGCUGUCUUCAGCCUCACUGGGUAAGACCACACAGCAGAAAUUCUGUAAAGAGUUCUGGGAGUAUUUGUAGCCACUGAUGAAAUUCGAUUCUGCCAAAUGAAUUCCUGUGAUAUUAACCAUUUCCGUUCCACAUUGUCUGAGGUUACAAAGCUGCUGUAGAGCUUUUAGCAGUUGUGCUACUGCAUGUGUUAACUCUGCUUUCUUGUUUUAGGUGAGGAGGCAAUUUUUAUGAAGAACCAAGGAGGUGAGUGUAACUCUAGUAAUAAUUAAAUUUAUUUGUGGGAACAAAAUGAUGAUCACCUUAGCUUGAACUCUCUUUCUGAACAGAGAUGAAUACCUAAGGUCUGAGUUGUUCCCAGUAAGCUUCUUGUACUGGUUUGAUGCCUUACGGUGGUUCUUCUGUCUGUCUUAAUAGGUGGAAGAUGGCAGAAUAACGGGUUACACUUGCAUGAACAGCAUUAAAAGAGCCAAAGGUGUUUUACCACACUGGUAGCGCUUGCCUGCAACUGAUUGGAACCAAUAAAGCUUUGUGAAAUCUACUUGUUGUUUUGAACUGCUUUGACUUGAACAGCUUGCUAUAAACUGCUUCUAGGCUACUUCAUGAAAGUUGCAAGUAGACUUAGAGCAGGGAUUAAACUAGUUUAAAUGCUAGUCCUGCAAGUGUCUUAACUUAAAUGUCAGGUGUUGCUGGAAUACAAACUGCAGUUGACCUGACCUGAACAAAGAUAAAAAACCUAAGUAGUAAUUAGUGUUUUAUAGGUGAGAAACACUACUUGUGUAUUUGCUCCUAAAAUUACAGGCCACCAUUAAGUCUGGUGUUGCGUCUUCAGGCACAGAUGUGCACAGUAUAAGCAUGCAGCUUGGACACUUGUUAACCCUUUCCCACUGGAUUCUUGGUCUAACCUGGUCACUGGCAUUAGUCUGGAGCAAUAGUGUGUCCAGCCUCUGAGGCAGAAACAGCAGAGUGGGAA
Molecule: long non-coding RNA, 1695 nt
Organism: Dryobates pubescens (Downy woodpecker)
Lineage: Eukaryota; Metazoa; Chordata; Aves; Piciformes; Picidae
Exons: 5
Source: RefSeq, a predicted model, not a curated record